This 502-nucleotide ribosomal RNA is filed under the name uncultured bacterium. Its description in RNAcentral is "bacterial SSU rRNA". It matches the Rfam family "Bacterial small subunit ribosomal RNA", at positions 8 to 507 of the family's 1533-position model. The record is from RNAcentral.
AGAGUUUGAUCAUGGCUCAGAUUGAACGCUGGCGGCAUGCUUUACACAUGCAAGUCGAGCGGCAGCGCGGGGGCAACCCUGGCGGCGAGCGGCGAACGGGUGAGGAAUACAUCGGAACGUGCCCGAGAGUGGGGGAUAACGCCGCGAAAGCGGCGCUAAUACCGCAUAUUCUCUGAGGAGGAAAGUGGGGGACCGCAAGGCCUCACGCUCACGGAGCGGCCGAUGUCGGAUUAGCUAGUUGGUGGGGUAAAGGCUUACCAAGGCGACGAUCCGUAGCUGGUCUGAGAGGAUGAUCAGCCACACUGGGACUGAGACACGGCCCAGACUCCUACGGGAGGCAGCAGUGGGAAUUUUGGACAAUGGGGCAACCCUGAUCCAGCCAUGCCGCGUGCGGGAAGAAGGCCUUCGGGUUGUAAACCGCUUUUAACCGGGAAGAAAAGGCAUCUCUUAAUACGGGGUGUUCUUGACGGUACCGGUGGAAUAAGCACCGGCUAACUACGUG